RNAcentral lists this ribosomal RNA (253 nucleotides) under uncultured bacterium. RNAcentral describes it as "partial 16S ribosomal RNA". It matches the Rfam family "Bacterial small subunit ribosomal RNA", at positions 524 to 776 of the family's 1533-position model. The record is from RNAcentral.
UACGUAGGGUGCAGGCGUUAAUCGGAAUUACUGGGCGUAAAGCGUGCGCAGGCGGUUUCUUAAGUCAGAUGUGAAAGCCCCGGGCUUAACCUGGGAACUGCGUUUGAAACUGGGAGACUUGAGUGUGGCAGAGGGGGUGGAAUUCCGACGUGUAGCAGUGAAAUGCGUAGAUAUGUGGAGGAACACCGAUGGCGAAGGCAGCCCCCUGGGUUAACACUGACGCUCAUGCACGAAAGCGUGGGGAGCAAACAGG